ACUUGUCGCGGUUCUCUACUAAACUAAAUGUCAGGAAUCAAUGACUGAGGGGUCAGAGGAGCAUCUCUUUAUGAUACAGAAAGAUAACGAUAUGUACACGUGACUGAACCUUCGGGCCAUCACUGAGCACUGAAACAGACAAAAACCCGGUGGAACAGAUGCCGGGAUCAAUUCAGCCGUGAUCUAACUGCCAAAGGCCGGAGUGGGGAAGGCAGCUCCAAGAAAAGGCCAUACUUGUACACGGCCAAUUUUUGAGGCCGGUGAUGGAUUUGAGGCCUACUGUGGACAGUCUGGAUGACCCAGAGGACUCUGAGACGGGUGAAAGUGACAGUCUGGCAGUAUUUUCCCCUGCAAGUAGUCCUGCCCUAACAUUGGCUGAGGAACCUGACCAGCCAUCACUGGCCCAGCCCACCCUUUCACCACGGAGCCCUGAAAGAGCCCUGAAAGAGUACAGCAGCGGCAGCCCAGGCGUCACCACAAUGUCCCUCACUCUUCCUCUGGGAAACCGACUCGGGAGAUGAUAGAUGCCCGAGUCAUUGAAUUCCUUGCCCAGAGGAGGAGUGAUGGCAUUGAAGAGUCGAUGUUGAGGGGCCUUGCUCCUUUAUUGAAGCAGGUCCAUACAGAAAAACAUCACGAGGGUGUUGCUUCGGUGGCCCUUGUAAUCAAAAUGUAUGCCUCCCCUUACCAGGGAGACAUACACUCGCAAAUUAAUGACUUGCGAAGACACAUAUUGAACAUCCCACCUCUCCAGCAUGGACGCAGCUACCACCAGCCUCCACACCCACCUCAAGGUCCAUCUUUCCCCCAACCACCAUACCACCGGUCACAAGACCCUACACCACCUGUUGGGCAGCCAAGUUAUCAGCCGAGUUUGGCAACUGGGGCCACAGAUCCUGGCCAUGUACGGCCAGGCUCAACAUAUGGGCCUGGCUUGUUUACGCAAGACCUGUUUGACCAUUGAUUUGAUAUGGUCCAAUGUUAUAUUUUGUGUUAUUUCUUUUUUUUUUAUCGUUUAUGUGAU
Bufo gargarizans (Asiatic toad) is the source of this 1021-nucleotide long non-coding RNA. RefSeq lists it as uncharacterized. The transcript has 3 exons. NCBI's taxonomy places the organism in Eukaryota, Metazoa, Chordata, Amphibia, Anura, Bufonidae. The record is from RefSeq and is a predicted model, not a curated record.